This 253-nucleotide ribosomal RNA is filed under the name uncultured bacterium. RNAcentral describes it as "partial 16S ribosomal RNA". It matches the Rfam family "Bacterial small subunit ribosomal RNA", at positions 524 to 776 of the family's 1533-position model. The record is from RNAcentral.
UACGUAGGGGGCAAGCGUUGUCCGGAAUCAUUGGGCGUAAAGAGCGUGUAGGCGGCCUGGUAAGUCCGCUGUGAAAGUCCAGGGCUCAACCCUGGAAUGCCGGUGGAAACUGUCAGGCUCGAGUCCGGAAGAGGAGUGUGGAAUUCCUGGUGUAGCGGUGAAAUGCGCAGAUAUCAGGAGGAACACCAAUGGCGAAGGCAGCACUCUGGGACGUGACUGACGCUGAGACGCGAAAGCGUGGGGAGCAAACAGG